UGGUAUUUUUAAGGGUUUUUUUUAUAUGUAGGCUAUAUGGCCAUCAAGGCAAGUCACUCGACUUAUAAUAGAGUAGAGCUGAUAUUGGUGUAUAAUAAGCCUGCGGUCCUCUGUGGUAAGCGACUGAUUUGUUGUUGUUUUUUUGUGCAUGUCUUGGUAUGUUUAAUGCCGUUCCUGACGUUCGCCUGCGACAGCCUUCAGGCUAUAUGACAGGAAAAGAUUUAUGUCACCUCAAGACAAGCCUGGAGGAGGAAAUCAGAGGGGAAUUACUAAUCUCACAACAGGACAUAAUGUGCAGAAUCAAGCACCGGCCUUCGGAUGAAAAGGAACAUGUUCGUCACUGUCCCCAGCAGAACAGAAACAGAGUUUCUGAGUGACUGGUGUCUCAUUCCUUAUGGGUAUCGGACACAUUCGGCAGAAAAUACCACACAUAAUACCAUGUUAUAGAUUUGUUAUAAAAAGCAUUAUACAUGAACCUGAAGAUAAACAUAACAUUUUCCAUUUUAGUUCACAGUUGACGCUUGGACUUGCACAGACUUUCACUCCACUGGCAUGAUGUCUAUCAGAUGCUUAUAACUAUAUACCUACCUGUGAUUGGCUCAUCUGUGUCUCAUCACCAGCAGGAAACGACUUCACUUCCUUUAAUAAUGACUUCAUACAGAAUUAUGUGCCGCCACAGUGUCUCCCGGUUUUAUGGUGUUCUUCUAGUGUAAAUGGUCCAGUUUAUUCCGAUGUCACCAAAACACACACACACACACAACGUACAUAAACAGGUUGUGAGACUACUGAGUUCAGAACUCUAUGUUCUGAAUGUCCACCAAUAUCUCAACUGAUAUUCAGGGAUUUAUUAAAAACGUUUAUAUAUAUAUAAUUUAUAAAUAGAAUAAAAUCAUGCAUUUUUACUUAAAUGGUCCUUAUGAUUCAAGGAUGCAUAGCUUUAAAUUGAGGCAGAAAUAUUAUCUGAAUAUUUAAAUUUGACAUCAUAUUUUUUUCCUUCAGAGAGUAACACACACAGUCCUAGCUCACAUUAAUAAAAGAUGUCACCAUUCAACUCCUGGUUAUCAACCAAUUCAUUCUGUUUUCUGUGUAACACACUGAAAAUAAGAAGCCUUUCUGUUUCCAACCCCCCAAAAUGUCCUAAUAAUAUUUAAUUUUUUAUUUAAAAAAAACAUUAAAACCUUUUUCAAAAUGUUUUGUAAUAUUUUAACAUAAAUUAGUUACCCAUGCUUUUAGUCCCCUCUGUAGUUAGUGACUAAACGUCUCUGCUCUUUCUGUUUACAAGUGAGCAGCUUGUUAGUAAUGUCAAACGCAGGAAGUUGUUUCCGUAUGACUCCUCACGCCACUCCUCAGAGCCUCUCUGUCUCUGCCAUCCACCGCAACAUAAAUCAGCAUUUAGAGCACAUGAGUGCGUCUUGGAGCCGGAGUGGCCCGAGGCGAUCUUGUUGGAACAAUGCUGAGAUCAAAGCACUGAGCUUUGACAGCCAAUGAGUGGCUUCCCAUGGCCGAAGCAGCAGAGCGACGCUCACACCUGUACCAGGUGAUUACAGUAGACAUGAUGACAUAAAGAAUGAACAUGCAGAGCAAACAAGAUGAAUUAUAAUUCAAGACUUUAAUGUGAAGAAGACUGACAGAGACACAGAGAGUCAUACACACCUUUAGCAGCGCAUUUGGAAUUCACCGGAAGCAUUUUUUGUCAUGUCUAAAUCUGUAUAUAGCUUUGGGUUACAACUCAGAUUUGUGACUGAGACUGAGAAAAAAAUCUUAAUAGAUUUUUCCUGUGUGUUGAGCACAGACUGUGGAAGACCUUCUUUAACACCACUACCAGGGUGAUUAUUACACAUCUCCUGCACUGGGCACAAAGUAGACUGUGAUAUAUUUUCUACUCCAACUCAAAAAGAAGAAGAUAUUACUCCGGCAUGUGACCUUCGGGAUGACAGAAUCUUGCAUCAUGUAAUAAAAUGAUAGAGGAAGUCUUUCCCUCCCUCAGACGCUUGGUCAAUUGCUUGCUUAAGGGUUUGUAGCCAUGAAUCUGAGUUGAAUGGAGCUGAGAUAAUUUUUGUAAAAAAAAAAAAAAAAAAAAAAAAAAAAGAAUAUUCUUUUCUCAAUUUUUAUAAUUGUGUAGAGAGUUGUAAAUAAUUGUCAUUUGAAAAUGUUGUAGUAAAA
Molecule: long non-coding RNA, 2163 nt
Organism: Hemibagrus wyckioides
Lineage: Eukaryota; Metazoa; Chordata; Actinopteri; Siluriformes; Bagridae
Exons: 7
Source: RefSeq, a predicted model, not a curated record